CCUACGGGGGGCAGCAGUGGGGAAUAUUGGACAAUGGGGGCAACCCUGAUCCAGCCAUGCCGCGUGUGUGAAGAAGGCCCUCGGGUUGUAAAGCACUUUCAGUGAGGAAGAACGCCUGGUGGUUAAUACCCAUCAGGAAAGACAUCACUCACAGAAGAAGCACCGGCUAACUCCGUGCCAGCAGCCGCGGUAAUGCGGAGGGUGCGAGCGUUAAUCGGAAUUACUGGGCGUAAAGCGCGCGUAGGUGGCUUGAUAAGCCGGUUGUGAAAGCCCCGGGCUCAACCUGGGAACGGCAUCCGGAACUGUCAAGCUAGAGUGCAGGAGAGGAAGGUAGAAUUCCCGGUGUAGCGGUGAAAUGCGUAGAGAUCGGGAGGAAUACCAGUGGCGAAGGCGGCCUUCUGGACUGACACUGACACUGAGGUGCGAAAGCGUGGGUAGCAAACAGGAUUAGAUACCCGAGUAGUC
RNAcentral lists this ribosomal RNA (465 nucleotides) under Vreelandella stevensii. RNAcentral's name for it is "partial 16S ribosomal RNA". It matches the Rfam family "Bacterial small subunit ribosomal RNA", at positions 338 to 795 of the family's 1533-position model. The record is from RNAcentral. Lineage: Bacteria; Pseudomonadati; Pseudomonadota; Gammaproteobacteria; Oceanospirillales; Halomonadaceae.